AUGUAAUGGAGCACGGCAUGGGGCAGUAAUGACACUAAAUCAACUGAUGCUCAAAGAGACACAUGUUGACACCUCGCGUGGGAAAGGCACAGGUGCGAAUGAUUAGAUUGACGACGUCACCAAUCUGUGCCUGAAACGGUCCGUGUCUGUUGCACACGUUACUAACUGACACGAGCCACAAGCGCAGCGGAACCAUCCAGAACAUCGCAAACCAACGUUAGUUAAAAGAAUAAUCUCUGCUCAGCAGCAGAAGGAGCAUUGUUGUUUCUAAAUUGCCUUUGACGAAUGCAGGAACCUCUUCUAAUCAGUGAUUGUGGAGAAAAACUGGACGAUGACCUGGGAGUGGACGGCUUUAAACCUUCCUCGCCAGUCUUACAAACCGAUAAGACUCAUGGAGAACAGCAAACUGCAAAGGAAGAACGUUCUGGACCCACCCGCUCAGAUCGAGAGAAGCAAGCCAACUAAAAUAAUCUCCACGACGACCGUUGAUGGGCUGCAGCUUCGAGCUGGCAGGAAGGAAAGGGACGCGAUGGCACAGAGAGUACUGGACACGUCGGUAGCGAUUACACAUCGGUCCACAAAGGGUCAGGGGUCGGGACUGAGCGUGCGCCC
Molecule: non-coding RNA, 612 nt
Organism: Gasterosteus aculeatus aculeatus (three-spined stickleback)
Lineage: Eukaryota; Metazoa; Chordata; Actinopteri; Perciformes; Gasterosteidae
Source: RefSeq, a predicted model, not a curated record